Molecule: long non-coding RNA, 1246 nt
Filed under: Cairina moschata (Muscovy duck)
Lineage: Eukaryota; Metazoa; Chordata; Aves; Anseriformes; Anatidae
Description: domestica (muscovy Duck (domestic type)) lncRNA (ENSCMMG00000015487.1)
Source: RNAcentral
AAACCUCCGACAGCACGCACUAGGUCGUCUGCCUCAAACACUAAUUCCAAAGAAAGUUAAUAAAGAGUUUGUGUUGGGAGGCGUAAUGCCGUAAGCAGUGUAACUGAUCAUAACAAGUGCUUGCUGCCCAUACCUCUGAGGGAAUUUCACCUCUAACUCUUCAGAGUUAGGUUUUUCAGGAGCUGGGUUUUUCAGAGCUGCCCCCUACGAAGGGACAGGCCUGCAUUUUGGGGCUCUGGGGAAUUCAGCUUUACCUGGCCUACAGGUUUGACCCAGGUUGAAUUUAUUUCAAGAGAAAUAUUUAAAAGAAAAUAUGCAAAGAAGGAUUCUUUUGGGAAAUGGGAGGAGAAUGGGGCUGAUUAUCUAGAGCAGCCUAAAUGGAUGUUAAAAUCAGUCUCGCUCAUCCUGGAGGAUAUUGAUGGACUAUUGACAGACUGGUCGUCUUUCCAGUGGAAGGAGCUCUUGCUACUCAAUUGAGGACAGUAGUACAGUUAAUUUUUAAGUCUCCUUAAUCAAUCUUUCCCAUAGUCUGCUCUGCAAUACUGAUGGGAACUAUAUUGCUAUUAUAAUUCAUUUAUCUUUUCAAUACCCAUUUAAGGUAUCAUUAUGCCUGUUUUAUAGAUGGGAGACUGAGGCACUGGUCUUUUGGCUGUGGACCAUUUUACAGUGACUUGAAAAGUUUAGGUGAUUAUUUUAUGUGCCAAGUUUUGAGGGUUUCUAUUGUAAACUGGUUGGAAGUUGCUGUUUUGGAAUGGGCGGCAAAAUGCUUUUUGAGACUAUGGCAGUCAAAAUGAAUACGAGAGAGGGACUGCAAGCUUCGUUGCAUGUGCCACCAGAGUGGAGUUUAAAACCAUGAUUUUAAGGCUUAUAGUGUAGUAUGUGGUUAAAGUUAGAGCACCUCAGAAGAGCAAUCUAAGAAACAGUUGUCUUGAGCAUCUCAAAGGAAAGGCGGAGAACAAAAGUAUGCUUAGCAUCUCUUCCAUACAUGACAUUUUAGACAGCUUUUUCGAGGUCCAAGGCAGAAUCCAGAUCCUCCCUCCUGGAUUAAUACCCAAAGUGUUCUGCUUGGAAAAAUAAAAUUAAAUUAAAUUAAAUUAAAAAAAAAAAAAAGUGUGCUUAACAGAAAAAUGAGUGCUUAAUAGACAUUUUUUUCUCACAUAUACUGAAGUCAGUGACUUCCAUAUUGCAACCUUGAAUCUUAUCUUCUGUUAACUUCAUUGCUUUUAUUCUGUUCUGUAAAUUUGUG